This 468-nucleotide ribosomal RNA is filed under the name uncultured bacterium. RNAcentral describes it as "partial 16S ribosomal RNA". It matches the Rfam family "Bacterial small subunit ribosomal RNA", at positions 28 to 507 of the family's 1533-position model. The record is from RNAcentral.
GACGAACGCUGGCGGUGGGCUUAACACAUGCAAGUCGAACGGAAAGGCCCUGCUUUCGUGGGGUGCCCGAGUGGCGAACGGGUGAGUAACACGUGAGUAACCUGCCCUUGACUUUGGGAUAACUUCAGGAAACUGGGGCUAAUACCGGAUAGGAGCUCCUGCUGCAUGGUGGGGGGUGGAAAGUUUCGGCGGUUGGGGAUGGACUCGCGGCUUAUCAGCUUGUUGGUGGGGUAGUGGCUUACCAAGGCUUUGACGGGUAGCCGGCCUGAGAGGGUGACCGGCCACAUUGGGACUGAGAUACGGCCCAGACUCCUACGGGAGGCAGCAGUGGGGAAUAUUGCCCAAUGGUCGGAAGCCUGAUGCAGCAACGCCGCGUGCGGGAUGACGGCCUUCGGGUUGUGAACCGCUUCCGCCUGUGACGAAGCGUGAGUGACGGUAAUGGGUAAAGAAGCACCGGCUAACUACGUG